This 2873-nucleotide unclassified non-coding RNA is filed under the name Hevea brasiliensis (rubber tree). The record is from RNAcentral. Lineage: Eukaryota; Viridiplantae; Streptophyta; Magnoliopsida; Malpighiales; Euphorbiaceae.
AAAACGGCUACUGCCUACUCUGUAUUAUUCGUCCAUGGCUUCUCCUGCCAAUUCAGUUUCAACUUUUCUGUCUCUAAAUCUCUACCAAUAACCCAUUUCCAUAUAAUUUUAUAUAUAUACUCCUGUCUCUCCUUGCUCCUUACAAUCUCUCAUGGCGGGUUCAAGACCCUCCUCUGUCUCUUCGCAGUCUUCUUCUCAGGCCUUCACUUCCCGUCUGUUAUUGCUUCUCACUCUCCUUCCCUUAACUCUUGCUGCCUUCGCUUUUGUUCUUCAAUGGCGUGGUGGAUUGACCGACCCCGUUUCUCGCUGGUCGCCCGACCACCACGAGUUUCCUGGAAUGGAAACCACCAGCUCCUCCACCGCUUCAUCAAGAACGAAGGAUUCCGGUUGUACGGAUCUUCUGGGUCGGAGCCAUUACCCGUCAUUUCCUUAUUACAGGAACUGGAAAUUCGAUUUCGGGUCUGAUCUGAAGCCCAAGAUAUGUAUAACUACAAGCACUUCUGCAGGCUUAGAUCAGACUUUGCCCUGGAUAUUUUAUCACAAAGUUAUUGGAGUUUCAUCCUUUUUCCUUUUCGUGGAGGGGAAGGCUACCUCUCCUAAUGUAUCUAAAGUUUUGGAAACAAUACCAGGUGUGAAAGUUAUAUACAGAACAAGAGAACUGGAGGAACAACAAGCUAGAAGCCGGAUCUGGAAUGAGACUUGGCUGGCAAGCUUCUUUUACAAACCAUGUAAUUAUGAGUUAUUUGUCAAGCAAUCCCUCAACGAGGAAAUGACCAUUGUCAUGGCAAGGGUGUGGAAGCUGAUAUGGAUUGGAUUAUCCAUCUUGAUACCGAUGAGCUAAUACAUGCUGUGGGAGCUCGUGAAUAUUCCCUGAGACAAUUGCUUUCUGAUGUGCCUUGAAAUGUUGAUAUGGUUAUCUUUUCAAAUUAUAAGUUAUUUGUUUCAGGUGAGUAGUGUUGAGCAAGAUGAUGUCAAGGAGCCUUUUAUUGAGGUUUCCAUGUUCAAGAAGAACUAUGAUCUUCUUCCAAAAGAUGUAUACUUUGGAAAUUAUAAAGAAGCAACUCAUGGUAAUUCAAAUUACUUUCUGACAUAAGGAAAUGGGAAGGCUGAUGCCCGAAUUCAAGAUCAUCUUUGCCCAAAUGGUGCACAUAGAUGGCAUAACUAUAUGAAGACUCCAAAGUAUACUCAUUCAAUUUGAAAUCCUAUUGAUUUUAUGUGCACCAUCCCUUUUUUUUAUGUUGUUAUUUUGAGUAAAAAUGUGAUAUUUGCAUGUAUACACACUUGUGUCGGCACAUUAUUCAAUUUGCAAUUGGAUGAAUUACGUGACAGAAUAUUUUUCAUUGCAUGCAAGCAUGUGGUUUUGUUUGUUGUCUCCUGAGGGUCAAGGUCAUUAAGCGGAUUUCUGUAUCUACUUAUUUUCUGAAUCCAUUCCGACUUAUGAUGCUUUCAAACUUAUGCUUAAAGAGUUGGCAAGCACCUAAGUGUCUUUCUGUGUAAAAUUUGGUAGUGAGAUCAAAUUGGAUGAGGCUGCAGUUCUGCAUUAUACAUACCCAAAAUUUUCUGAUUUGACUUAAAGAGGUAAUCGGCGUGGUUGCAAGCCUACAAAGGAUUAUGUUAAAAGAUGUUUUAUGUUGGAAUUUGACAGAGCUGCAUUCAUAAUUGCUUCAACUGCAACAGCAGAGGAAAUGCUUCGCUGGUAAUAGCCAUAUAUAAACUCUUGCUAUUUUCCUGUUUUGAUUAGGUUUUUUUGCUAUCUGGUAUGAUGAUAAUUUAUUCUGUAGAUGCAGUGAAAUAAUUUCAAAUAUCCUAAAUAUUGCCACUCGUACAAUUCUCAUUGCAUUAGGUAAUGGGAACGUAUUGUGUGGACUGAAAAAUCACUGAAUAUUGAACUCAUGAGAAAGGGCAUCUUGACUCGCAUGUAUGCUCCCAUGGUCAGUCUAACCACCCCAAUUAUUGGUUUGAGGUUCCCAUGAGAUUGAAAGUAGUAAAUUUUGGGUGAAUUUGUGCACAGUGCCUCUGCCACUCUCCUUAGACCUUUCUUAAUUCAGUGUUUGCAGGUCAUUGUCCAAGGACUCAGGGAAUCUGGUGUAUUCAGUAAUGUCAUGGCAAUGUCACAGACAAACCUAACAGAAUUAUUUUCUUCGGUUAAGAAUAGUAAUUCUACUAAAGCAGCUAAAUGUGGAGUUAUUUCUUCACAAAAGAUUGGUCAAAAUGAAGAACUCAGGCAACUGCAAGAAGGGUCUUGCAGAUAAGUGACAAUGCUUCUUUCCCCUCAGCUGUUCCACCACAAUCUCCUCCUGAUGAGGAAGAUAUUGAGGUAUCGUAUAUAGAUGUAUUGACCUAACAUCCGCAGCUGUCCUGGCCCACUUAGCAUCAUCAUUCCCUACGAUAGAUUAAGAUGCGAUCGAGAAUUGGAGACGUUUGGAAAAAGAUAUCCCCAGGGAAUGAGAAAAGUAGCAUAGGCUGCAGUGGUGGUGCAUUUUGGUGUUCGGUUGAUGGGGCUCUUCCCGAUCAUUACCCAAGCGCUGGUGUUCAUUUCAUGUAGAUAAUAGAUUCUAUAGAGAGAGAGGGUUGUAAAGCUUGAUUCUGAUUCCAUCACGGUGAUUUUUUCGACUUCUUGAUAGUUUUUCUAGAUGCCUUGGCUGGUUUCCUUUGGUUUGUAAUUGGAAAUACACAUUUUGAGGGGAUGUAUGAUUGUAUCAUUCCCAUUCAUGAUACAGCCAAAUAUUACUUGAAGAUUUGAAGUGCAAGUAGGUUCUUAAUUAUUACUAUAUACUAAAGGGAAAUUAUUAUUUAGAUCGGUUCCAUUAUGGACUAAAAUACAAACAUAUGAAACAAACAUAUGAAAUUCAUAUAUAGGUAGGUCUCAUGUA